Molecule: unclassified non-coding RNA, 250 nt
Filed under: Hevea brasiliensis (rubber tree)
Lineage: Eukaryota; Viridiplantae; Streptophyta; Magnoliopsida; Malpighiales; Euphorbiaceae
Source: RNAcentral
GUGACUGUCUUCCACGGUUGAAGUAAAAUGAUAACAGAAAACACAAAAUAAGACGAGUAAAGUCAUAUAAAGUGACUGUAAUAUUUCCUGUUUGUCACAACAAUUCAGUGCCAUCUUUCGAGCAAGUAUUUAGACGAAUAAAACCAAUUCGUUUAGGAAGUUCAGAAGACGUUUCAAAUUUACCUUACUCUUCCUUCCUUUAAACCUAUCAAUCAACUUUGAACAAGCCUGCUUUGAUAGCAUCUCAGGC